Neofelis nebulosa (Clouded leopard) is the source of this 327-nucleotide long non-coding RNA. RefSeq lists it as uncharacterized. The record is from RefSeq and is a predicted model, not a curated record. Lineage: Eukaryota; Metazoa; Chordata; Mammalia; Carnivora; Felidae. The transcript has 2 exons.
UCUUGGUUUGUAGAUGUCCACACAGGUUCCCUUGUCCAUAAGUUAUUGAUCACAUCUCCAGGUGCUUCCAGACCAUGGCCAAUAGGACCUGGAAAUAAUUUACAGUCUCCUGCAGGUUCCACAGCUGGUACUGAGGUCUGUCUGCCUACUACUCAACUCACAGCCAGGUUCCAUCACAGGAAAAGGAAUAUGUGCCUCAAGGGAAAACCUGAAGCUGCCUUUCUCACCUGUGACCUCCAGCUGCAGGUGUUCACUCUCCUCUGACCACUCCUGGGAGUCCAUUGUCUUGUAGGCGCAAAAGUACGUCCCAGCAUCCUUUGGCUCCAG